UACAGAGGUCCCAAGCGUUGUUCGGAUUCACUGGGCGUAAAGGGUGCGUAGGUGGUGAGGUAAGUCGGAUGUGAAAGCUCUGAGCUCAACUCAGAAAAGGCAUUGGAAACUACCUUGCUAGAGGAUUGGAGGGGGGACUGGAAUUCUCGGUGUAGCAGUGAAAUGCGUAGAGAUCGAGAGGAACACCAGUGGCGAAGGCGAGUCCCUGGACAAAUCCUGACGCUGAGGCACGAAAGCUAGGGGAGCAAACAGG
Molecule: ribosomal RNA, 253 nt
Filed under: uncultured bacterium
Lineage: Bacteria
Description: partial 16S ribosomal RNA
Rfam family: Bacterial small subunit ribosomal RNA
Source: RNAcentral